Molecule: long non-coding RNA, 720 nt
Organism: Canis lupus familiaris (dog)
Lineage: Eukaryota; Metazoa; Chordata; Mammalia; Carnivora; Canidae
Exons: 3
Source: RefSeq, a predicted model, not a curated record
UCAAAUAGAAAGGGGGGACCUUGAGGGGAAGAGAAACAGCUAGAAGUACCCAGGAUAAUGUAGGUAUUGGGGAAGUAGAGGCUUGCCCUCCCCCACCCUCCUACCUAUCCCAAUGACUCUGACAGGAUGGUGUGGAUUUCUAGAGAAGUUAUUAUUGUCGCUGUAAUUUGUACUGAAGAGGCAUCUGGGCAGUACAGCUGGUGGCUGCCCCUUGUAGGAGCAGGACAUUGGUCUGGCAAUCAUGCUGUGGUAUGACAGAGAUCCAUGAAGUAGGGUAGAAGCAGCCAGAGUUUAGAGUCUGGAGAAGACAAGACUGAGACUGGUGGAAACUGCCUAAGACCAAGAGGUGAAAGAGGUGACCAGCUCUUGCUUACAAAGGGGCUAUGCCUUCCAGGGACCAGCACACACCACCCAUUGCUGAGAACAGUCCCCUCAUCCUCUUGAGGUUCCUGGAAUAUUCAAAUCUGGUAUUUGAGUCUCUGAGCAAGCUCACGGACUCCGAUUUUUCAACUGUGUGACUGCUGCAGGCAAAAUGGCUGUAAGGAACACCAGGACGUGCAGUGAGCGCCCGACCCCCAGAGGCACUGAGCCAUGGAACUGCCGACCCAGGAAAAUGAGUUUUCCAGUCUAUGUUACCUGAGCUGUGUGCUCCAGGAGAGAAGGGCCACGUCGCUGCUCACCGUUGCAUUCUGAGCGCUCAGCACACUGGUAGGUUCUCAG